AGUGGCGACCGGGUGAGUAACACGUGACUAACCUACCUCCGAGUGGGGAAUAACUCCGGGAAACCGGGGCUAAUACCGCAUAACAUCGCAAGAUCAAAGCAGCAAUGCGCUUGGAGAGGGGGUCGCGGCUGAUUAGCUAGUUGGCGGGGUAACGGCCCACCAAGGCGAAGAUCGGUAUCCGGCCUGAGAGGGCGCACGGACACACUGGAACUGAAACACGGUCCAGACUCCUACGGGAGGCAGCAGUGGGGAAUUUUGCGCAAUGGGGGAAACCCUGACGCAGCAACGCCGCGUGGAGGAUGAAGCCCUUUGGGGCGUAAACUCCUUUCGACCAAGACGAUAAUGACGGUACUGGUGGAAGAAGCACCGGCUAACUCUGUGCCAGCAGCCGCGGUAAUACAGAGGGUGCGAGCGUUGUUCGGAAUUAUUGGGCGUAAAGGGCGCGUAGGCGGUGCCACAAGUCACUUGUGAAAUCUCCGGGCAUAACUCGGAGUCUGCAGGCGA
Molecule: ribosomal RNA, 504 nt
Filed under: uncultured bacterium
Lineage: Bacteria
Description: bacterial SSU rRNA
Rfam family: Bacterial small subunit ribosomal RNA
Source: RNAcentral